GCACCUGUAGCUCAGCUGGAUAGAGCACGGGCCUCCGACGCCCGGUGUCGCAAGUUCGAAUCUUGUCAGGUGCA
This 74-nucleotide transfer RNA is filed under the name Lachnospiraceae bacterium. Its description in RNAcentral is "tRNA-Arg". It matches the Rfam family "tRNA". From Rfam's summary of the family: Transfer RNA (tRNA) molecules are approximately 80 nucleotides in length. Their secondary structure includes four short double-helical elements and three loops (D, anti-codon, and T loops). Further hydrogen bonds mediate the characteristic L-shaped molecular structure. tRNAs have two regions of fundamental functional importance: the anti-codon, which is responsible for specific mRNA codon recognition, and the 3' end, to which the tRNAs corresponding amino acid is attached (by aminoacyl-tRNA synthetases). tRNAs cope with the degeneracy of the genetic code in two manners: having more than one tRNA (with a specific anti-codon) for a particular amino acid; and 'wobble' base-pairing, i.e. permitting non-standard base-pairing at the 3rd anti-codon position. RNAcentral also lists the same sequence under 20 other names. Lineage: Bacteria; Bacillati; Bacillota; Clostridia; Lachnospirales; Lachnospiraceae. The record is from RNAcentral.